This 292-nucleotide ribosomal RNA is filed under the name uncultured bacterium. RNAcentral describes it as "partial 16S ribosomal RNA". It matches the Rfam family "Bacterial small subunit ribosomal RNA", at positions 505 to 796 of the family's 1533-position model. The record is from RNAcentral.
GUGCCAGCCGCCGCGGUAAUACGUAGGCAGCAAGCGUUGUUCGGAGUUACUGGGCGUAAAGGGUGUGUAGGCGGUUGUUUAAGUUUGGUGUGAAAUCUCCCGGCUCAACUGGGAGGGUGCGCCGAAUACUGAAUGACUCGAGUGCGGGAGAGGAGAGUGGAAUUCCUGGUGUAGCGGUGAAAUGCGUAGAUAUCAGGAGGAACACCGGCGGUGUAGACGGCUCUCUGGACCGCGACUGACGCUGAGACACGAAAGCGUGGGUAGCAAACAGGAUUAGAAACCCGCGUAGUCC